UUACAGCUGCCAAUUAAUCAACCUGCUUAAACAAAUAAAUGAACUUGAACUUGAACUUUCUCUGUUUUUUAUAAGCAUAUGUAUCUUCAUUGUCAUACAUUCUUAAAUUAUCAUCUUCUUUCCUUCAACUUCUCUACAAAAGCUUUGCUUUUACAAUUCAGGCCUAAUUAACAUUUUCAUCAGUUACGUUUAUGAGCUCAGGUUUGUAAGUGACCAUGCAGUGUCAAAUAGAUUGAUGCAAUAAAAUCCUCUAAAAUAUUGCUUGCUUUUGUAGGAAGAUUUAUCUAGUCUGUCAGAUGGCAGUGAUGUUAUCAUCAUUGAAAAUUUCCCUCCAAACAUUAAAGAACAGGAUUUAAUUGAUCUAUUUGAUCCCUAUGGUGAUGUUCUAUCUUGUAUGAUUGAUAGAGAUGGCAAAGGAAUAAGCCAAGGAACAUCACUUAUCAGAAUGGAAAGUAGGACUGUUUGUGAAUGGAUAGUGAACACUUUUUCUGGUGAAGUAUACCCA
Stylophora pistillata is the source of this 505-nucleotide long non-coding RNA. NCBI's taxonomy places the organism in Eukaryota, Metazoa, Cnidaria, Anthozoa, Scleractinia, Pocilloporidae. The record is from RefSeq and is a predicted model, not a curated record.